This is a long non-coding RNA of Ctenopharyngodon idella (grass carp), 1810 nucleotides long. RefSeq lists it as uncharacterized. NCBI's taxonomy places the organism in Eukaryota, Metazoa, Chordata, Actinopteri, Cypriniformes, Xenocyprididae. The record is from RefSeq and is a predicted model, not a curated record. The transcript is spliced from 5 exons.
CACGGUAUGCAAUCUGAAAUCUAACGAAUGAGAUUAUUGUGAUGUUGCUACUCAAAGCCUUCAUUAAUUAGCACUUUCUUUGCUUUUUAUUCUUUGAUCUUAUAGAGGUGCGUCUAGUGGGGCUUCUGGCCAAGAGAAAAGGAUGGAUGAACAGACGGCGUUUGACUUGCUGGUUCAGUCCUGCCCAGUGACUCUUGACGGGCCUCCUCCGAAAAGGGCACGCAGACACGAACUGUGCGCUGAACACGAGAGGCACUGCUACGACCGCUGGCGCAGCGAGCAGCUCAAGCUGCGUGAACAGCGUGUCCUUGAAUAUUUCGGUCGGUGUCAGCUGUCUGAGUCACAAGUGGAGGCCUGGGUGGAGAAACAAGGAUGGACGUCUAACGUCCCACAGGCUUCCCUAAUACUCAAGAAAUACUCCAAGUAGCCUUGAACAGCUCCCCUGCGGCUCUGUGGGUUACAAAAAUAAAUGUGAGCGGGCUACUUCCAAGCCACAUUAUUUUUGUGCCUACUUUUCAGCCACAAAACACCACCUCUCUUGCUCUCCAAGUUGCCCUGAACGGCUCCCCUUUUUUUUUAGUAGGUUACUCAAAGAUAUGUGAGCGGGCUAAUUUCCAAGCCACAUAUCUCUUCUCCUUGCCUACUUUUUUCUCUUUAGCCACAAAAAAGUAAAAAAAGACCACCAAUACAGAUAUUUUUUUUCUUUCAAUAUUCAUAGUGGAAGUGCACCAGUCUGCUGUGACAGAAACCCCUGCUGCCCAUCAUCUGUUUGUCCUGGAGAGAGAAAGAUCACUGACUUCUCCAGCCAAGAUAAGUUCAACCAACUGUUUUAUAUGCUCCACUAAUCAUUCGAUUCACACAGACAGUCUGAGUCUAAUCUGCGAUUUCUUCUUCGUUGCAGCUACAAAUAACCAAACAUCAGCAGCUCACUCAGAAGAAGAAGAAGAAGUUUUAGCGUUCGUCCCACCUUUUAACAACUGGAGACAGUAUGUGCCAUGAUGCACAGUACACACAGGACCAUGGGGAAAUUUGACAGAGGGGGGCACACGCUGGAUCAAGCUUGCAAGACAUAUUCACAUCAACACGACGAAGUGAGAAGAGUCGCAGCUGUUUGACAGUAAAGAGAGAGACAGCUCGUUCCUCACCAACAACCACACGGACAACUGACUCCAGGCUCCCUUCCAUAAUUCCAUUUUGUAUGUCAGAUGUUGAACAUGAAAGCUAUGUGCAUUUCACAUCCAACAAACCAUCCCAUACCGGCGUGAUAAAUCCAGUCUUCAACUAGAUGGAGCUGGAUUAAAUAUUUUGACUUUUGCUAUCCCAAUCGGACUUAUGACCUGUAAUGCUGCCUGAAUCGUAAUCAUGCACUGUUCGCUGUUGGCCAGAGGAGAACUGGCCCCCCGACUGAGCCUGGUUUCUCCCAAGGUUUUUUUUCUCCAUUUUUGUCACCUGUUGGAGUUUGGGUUCCUUUCCGCUGUCGCCUUUGGCUUGCUUAGUUGGGGACACUUGACAUUUGAUAUUCAACAAUGUUUUUGAUCUGCCUGCAUUGACACCUUUUGUAUGCGAACUGAGCUGAGCUGGACGAUGACAUGACUGUUUUCUCCAGAGCUGAUAUAUAGAUAAAUUAACUAAACGAAUAACUAUUGAUUUUUACUAAAUCAAUACUGAAUUUACUUUAGCUGGACAAUGACACCAUUUUCUUCUAGAGCUGCUGUGCAGCCAAAAUUAUUUGCCAGUUAUCACUGUAAAGCUGCUUUGACACAAUCUGCACUGUAAAAAGCGCUUUAUAAAUAAAGGUGACUUGACUUGA